CCUACGGGAGGCAGCAGUGGGGAAUAUUGGACAAUGGGCGCAAGCCUGAUCCAGCAAUACCGCGUGGGUGAUGAAGGUCUUCGGAUUGUAAAGCCCUUUUAGUAGAGAAGAUAAUGACGGUAUCUACAGAAAAAGCACCGGCAAACUUCGUGCCAGCAGCCGCGGUAAUACGAAGGGUGCUAGCGUUGUUCGGAAUCACUGGGCGUAAAGGGUACGUAGGCGGUUUGGUAAGUCGAUUGUGAAAGCCCCAGGCUCAACCUGGGAACUGCAAUCGAAACUACUUUACUUGAGUUUGGUAGGGGAUGGUGGAAUUCCUAGUGUAGGGGUGAAAUCCGUAGAGAUUAGGAAGAACACCAGUGGCGAAGGCGACCAUCUAUGCCAAUACUGACGCUGAGGUACGAAAGCGUGGGGAGCAAACAGGAUUAGAUACCCUGGUAGUCCACGCCCUAAACGAUGAAUGCUAGUUGUCGGGGCCUUAGGCUUCGGCGGCGAAGUUAACACGAUAAGCAUUCCGCCUGGGGAGUACGGUCGCAAGACUAAAACUCAAAGGAAUUGACGCUGAGAGNGCGAAGACGACACGAGGGAGAG
RNAcentral lists this ribosomal RNA (588 nucleotides) under uncultured bacterium. Its description in RNAcentral is "bacterial SSU rRNA". It matches the Rfam family "Bacterial small subunit ribosomal RNA", at positions 338 to 943 of the family's 1533-position model. The record is from RNAcentral.